UUUGGACUGAAGGGAGCUCC
RNAcentral lists this small nuclear RNA (20 nucleotides) under Arabidopsis thaliana (thale cress). RNAcentral's name for it is "snRNA_14302". Lineage: Eukaryota; Viridiplantae; Streptophyta; Magnoliopsida; Brassicales; Brassicaceae. The record is from RNAcentral. RNAcentral also lists the same sequence under 1 other name.